This 63-nucleotide transfer RNA is filed under the name Agonita chinensis. Its description in RNAcentral is "tRNA-Ala". The record is from RNAcentral. Lineage: Eukaryota; Metazoa; Arthropoda; Insecta; Coleoptera; Chrysomelidae.
UGGGUAAUAGUUAAUUAUAACAUUUAAUUUGCAAUUAAAAAUUAUUGUACUCAAUUUACCUAA